This 1113-nucleotide long non-coding RNA is filed under the name Sus scrofa (pig). RNAcentral's name for it is "lncRNA (ENSSSCG00070011814.1)". Lineage: Eukaryota; Metazoa; Chordata; Mammalia; Artiodactyla; Suidae. The record is from RNAcentral.
CGUCCCGAUAUGACUCUUUAGCCUGGGAAUUUCUAUAUGCUGCAGGUGCAGCCAUAACAAGAAAAAAAAAAAUUGGGAAACUAAUAAUCUCAUAGAGGGCCUCCAGCAUGCGGCAUUGCUGUCUAAAGAAAGUGGUAGGGUGAAACCGGGGUAAGAUUUAUGGCCUCUCUCCAAAGGUUACUGAGCACCUACCUGCAGUGGGCCAGGCGUCUGGAAGGAGCGGGGCUGACUGUGGCGAGCAGCACACUGUCCUUGCCCUCAUGAACCACACGGCCUGUUAUAUCAGAGACUUCAUCAGCGGGGAGCAUGAGUUCCACUGAAAAUAGACUUGGCCACAUUCUGUCCUUGUCUGGCACACAUCGUGCUGCAGCAGAGCUCCGGUUCCAGCUGAUCCUUCCCGCUGGCUCUUAAUUCUCCCAAGAAUUUCUCCUCAGGGAAUUGAAAAGUGUCCCUUUCUCCUUCCUUUUCCUCAAGGUGAAGAUGCUGCCUUGGGUAAAAUGACACUUACAAGCUCCCCAUUUUGUAAAGAGAAGGACCAUGGCUUGAACCCGCAUAGCACCAAGUACAAGGCAACAUGAAGCUGGAUCCAAAUGGAAGGUCACUCAGUUGCUGCUCACCUGUCAGGUAAGGACUGCAACAGAAACGUGUCUCUCAAACAAGAGACAUUUUGGCGAGAGGAUCCAGUCAUGCUCUAAGUGUAUAUCCUGGAGGGACAAACCUGAAAUUGAAAUAGCAAAGUGAGAAUUGUAGAAGAACUUCCAAGGACACUGUGAACUGACCAAAACCACUGAAAGGCAGGACUGACCUUCCUUCUUUUAUUCCCAGGGAACGGUAGCUUGCAUGUGGCCAUUUGGAAGGGUCAUGUCAUAAAUCCAGAUAUUAUAGUUAUUAUGAUUCAAUAUAAUUUUAUUUUGUUCCUCAAAUUAUUCCAUCUUUGGUCAUUGUGAGCUUUUUAAGUUGUCUCCUGGGUUAUUUUGACAUACAUUCAUCAUUGUGGGUAUUUAUAUAUAAAUUAGUACUACCUUAUUAUCAGAUGUUUAAGGCUCAUCUUACACAUUUCCUGCUCCAGUCCUAGAAUCAGCCAUUUUUACAAAAAGGCUUAGUUGGUUCUCU